GGAGAGAUGGCUCAGUGGUUAAGAGCACUGACUGCUCUUCAGAGGACCAGGGUUCAAGUUCCAGUAUCUACA
Mesocricetus auratus (golden hamster) is the source of this 72-nucleotide non-coding RNA. NCBI's taxonomy places the organism in Eukaryota, Metazoa, Chordata, Mammalia, Rodentia, Cricetidae. The record is from Rfam.